Molecule: ribosomal RNA, 460 nt
Filed under: uncultured bacterium
Lineage: Bacteria
Description: partial 16S ribosomal RNA
Rfam family: Bacterial small subunit ribosomal RNA
Source: RNAcentral
CCUACGGGAGGCAGCAGUGAGGAAUAUUGGUCAAUGGACGAGAGUCUGAACCAGCCAAGUAGCGUGAAGGAUGACUGCCCUAUGGGUUGUAAACUUCUUUUAUAAAGGAAUAAAACGAGGCACGUGUGCCUUUUUGCAUGUACUUUAUGAAUAAGGAUCGGCUAACUCCGUGCCAGCAGCCGCUGUAAUACGGAGGAUCCGAGCGUUAUCCGGAUUUCUUGGGUUUAAAGGGAGCGUAGAUGGGUUGUUAAGUCAGUUGUGAAAGUUUGCGGCUCAACCGUAAAAUUGCAAUUGAUACUGGCAGUCUUGAGUACAGUUGAGGUAGGCGGAAUUCGUGGUGUAGCGGUGAAAUGCUUAGAUAUCACGAAGAACCCCGAUUGCGAAGGCAGCUUACUAAACUGUGACUGACAUUGAUGCUCGAAAGUGUGGGUAUCAAACAGGAUUAGAUACCCCUGUAGUC